RNAcentral lists this non-coding RNA (28 nucleotides) under Homo sapiens (human). Lineage: Eukaryota; Metazoa; Chordata; Mammalia; Primates; Hominidae. The record is from RNAcentral.
UGAGAUUUUGGUGUACCCAUCACUUGAA